AGAAGGGGUGAGAGGGAGAAACCUGCCGCCGCUCGCCGCCUCUUUGUCUGCUCCGGGACUGGGAACAAAAGGGGGAACUCUGAUGAACUCUCUCUCCUCCCCUCUCCCCCGGACGCCCGGGUAUCUCCCUCUCGCAACUUUGCCUACGCGACUUUCUCUGCUGUCAGGCCACAAAAAAGUGUCCUAGAGCCUCGCCGACUGCAACAAGGGAAACCACGUCUCUCCAAAGUGCGACCAAGUGGGGAAGAAGGUGUGAUUCUUGUGAGCCUCUAAAAGCAUCAUGCAGUGGCUGGGGGACCUCUGGAGUUGACCUUCGGUGUCCUGCAGCGUUCUCACUGGAUCUAUCAGGGGGCCACCUGGAUCGCCAGUGCAUCAGAUCCUUCCUGGAUUGGAGUUGCUUCAGAGUUACCCUGUUGGGAUUUGGGGCAAUGCCUUCCUCCUGUGGAUUACUACACCCUGGUGACUGGGAGUCCUCCACCUGGAAAGCACCCAGGGGACGGGGACGGCGAAGAGCUCGCACAUCGGCCUAUCCAGGGAACCCCGCUGAAGAGAGGGUGUGCGAGUCUUCCCCAGGGGCUCUGAAGUCCGCCCGCCUCACCCUCUGGGCGCCCGUACCUUCUCUGGGUGGCAUUUGUUCCAGUGACAUACUCGGACUUCAGAGACCACAGCCUUCUGAAAGCAGAGCCUUUAGACCGGGAAUUAAAUAAGAGCUGUCCAGUUGUGGUGAGCCUCUGAGUAGAGAUUUCUUGCAUGUAUACCUGACAAGCUGUACCCAUGAGAAUGAUCUCCAACGCUGCCUCCGUCUCUUCCCAUGUCCUGAGAUGAGUUUUCAGAAAAGAAACUUCAUCAAAAAGUUUAUCCUGAGUUUGCCACAAUUUAAAAAAAUAACCAAGAGCAAUAAAAAAGAAAGCACAACAUGACCCAGAAGCUCUGCAGGGAAGCCGGACCAGCUCGUAGCUGCACAAGCGGGUGUGAGCACGCUCCUCAUGAGCAGGUGUGAGCACGCUCCUCAUGAGCAGGUGUGAGCACGCUCCUCCUUGCUGAUGGUCAGCUAGACUGUUUAGACAUCUCAAUGGCUGCACACCGUCCACUGUACCUGGCUGAUAAGUGUGCAAAUGUCCUGGAGAAAAUUCCUUUAAUUCCUUAUUAUGAACCAAGAGCAGCUCAUUUUGUAAAGGAAAUUGCCGCUGGAAGUUCUUGGCCCCUCACGGAGUUCACCAGCAUCGACUUCUACAGGAACCAGGGCUCCUACUUCUUUGAGAGACAGCAGUACAGAACGCAGCUGUGUGACUGCUGGGGCCGCAGUACGGCCAUUUAUGAAGCCAUUUCCCUUUUAUUUUCUCCCACAAACCACCCAGUGAUGUUAUGAAGACGGGGAUAUUAUGUUUCCAGAAGAAGGAGGCAGAGGCUCAGGGAUUUCAAGGACGAGGGCCCAGAGGCACUGAGCGCGCAGGCUGGUAAUGAGAACCGCUCCCGUUUAUUGAGCGCUCAGUGUUUUCUGAGAACUUUUCUAAGUGCUCUGCACAUAUUAAAUUUUUAAAUGUUCACAUUAGUCCUGCGAGGGAGCGCUAUUCUUAUCUACAUUUCACCCGUGGGGACGCCGAGGCACGAGGAGGCGAAGGAAGUAUUCAGGAUCCUGGUAAAAGGGCAGAACCCGCAGUCCCAGGAGCCCAGGCCGUGCCCUACCCAGGGGGCUUCACCCCAGCGCUGGGCGCCAGGGCUCCUGCUCCUUCACCUGUGGCUAGUGCGUGGGAUCCAGAGCUCAGUGCUCAGGCUGGGCCAAGCUGGUGGCUGUGUUUCUGCUCCUGGCCUAGCGGAGGUGGGGUGGACUCGCCUCUGGAUUCCAGGGAUCCUGGUGGAAAUCCAGCUCGGCUUCCCCAUCUCCUCUUUGUGUCCACUGUUAACCAAGGGCAGUCUUGUCCUGCUCCCAGAUCCCCUCUUACACCUCUUGAUGGUCACCCACGUGUCCUUGACCCUGAUCCGUCACAGCCCACCACAUGGAAAGGCGCAUGUCUUUCCCACCGCACAGGGACUUCCUCGCCAGCUCCCAGUUCUCUCGUGUUUGCCGGCUGAGCGUCUCUUGUCUUCCCGGACCUCAGGCUCAGGCUUUGCAGAGACGCCUCCGUGUCCUGGAGUUCCCUGUGUUUGUGAAUCUUGGCUGGGAAUCCCAUCCUGUUCCAUGGUCACCUGUCCAGUGACUGUGCUUUGUGGAGUUUUGUUCCCUUGUAGAAUCCUGUUUCCGAGUCCCCUCCGUGUGGCCUGGAGCAGCAGCAGGCUCCUCCCAGGCAGAUGGCUGGAUGGAUGUCACAGGCCCACGAGCCACUGUACAUGGAGCCCUUCACGGAUAUAAGCUCUACAAAAGCAAGGCCCAUGCCACAGGAUGACUGAGAGCCCGACAGACGUUUCCAGGCCUCUGAGUGGACACUCAGUCUUCACACAGAGGCGCCGGCCCUUAAGCCAUUCAGAAUCCCCAGCAGCUGCACCAGGAAACAGCUGGAGAAGACUCUGCCCAGCACCAGCUAGGCGGCCUCGUGGGAGAGGAGAAGCUGCCUCCAUAGGCUUUGGUUGCAAACCCAGGAGUCACGACUUCGGGGACAGAUCUAGCAACGCCACAGAGUUAAAUUUUCCUUUGAUGGGAUCUGGAUCUUAACAUUAUUUGGAGCCAGGGUUCAAUGGAGGAUAUAAAAUUCCCUGUUCUCAGAUGCCGCAUGCCAGCUGUCUCCAGAGUGAAAAGUGAACAGCAUCUUACACCUCUACUGGCCUUUGAGUGCCAGGACCCAGCCUAGGGAAGAGAGCAGCAUCCGUCUCUUCAGAGCUGACCGGACGUGGGCACUGCCUUCCACCUUCUGUCUCCUAGGCCCCUCUCCGUCCGGUGGAGGGUGCGCAGAGCCUGCUGGCAGCCGUGCGCCCUCGGAGACUCGCGCUCUUGACACCAGUGGAAGCGCGGGGCACCGCAAACCGCUCUGAGCACAGCCCACUUCCCUGGGCCCCCCGCGAGCGUGGAGCAGUCACCCAGCACUCCAACGCCACCCAGGAAACCCGCAGCCCAGGCACACCGUUGGAGCAGGUGUGCAAGCGACUUCUCCCAAGCACACGUGGCGGCAGUUACGUUCCCCGUGCCCACGGGUGCAGGGCCCCUCACAGCCCGCUGUGCCUGGGGACAGAGCCAGGAGCUCAUGUGCUCCCAGCAGCCCUACCUUCCCUUUCCUCCCUCACCGCUAAGUGGCUUGGAGAAGAUCUGGAAGAACCAGUGUCUUUUUCCUUUCUGUUGUCCUUUGCCGUGAGAACAUCUCUUGGAUCACUCCUUUAAUAUAGUAAACAUGAAGACGCCAACAUGAACUGCUUUACCAAGACCCAGGGGAGAAAGGCAAGGUCUAAAAGCUGUGCAUACAUGUCAAGUGUAAGUGCACAUGGACUUGUGUAUACAGGCAUGCACGUAUGCAUAGGUAUAGGCUGGUGGGCACAGCUGUAUGGGCUCACGGAUAUGCACGUGCAGCACAAGUUGCACACCAAUUUAAAGCAAAACUCAAGUGAGCCCUGAUGUAAAGAGAGAGUAUGAACGUUUAAGACAGUUUCAAGACUCAGGUGAUAAGGUGAAGGUGCUCCUCAGAAAAACAAGGAAAGGCGAACCAUGCACAGGUGUAUCUAUUUAAAAACAGAAUCCGUUGGAUAUAAUGAAACUUUAGGAAAUUUCCAUCUAAGUUUUGAGUUAUCUUAAUUUAAAAAAAAAAGAUGAAAACUGUUAGCUAGGAUUUCAGACCUCUCCCCUUGUAUUUUGUGUAAAGUUCUUAGUCCCUCAAAGUACUAGCACCUGCUCUUGGGUACAUGACUUUGAGCUGAGGCUUCAAAAUGUUAUGUUUAUUACUUAAAUAUAAGUAGGUAGGUUACUUCUUGAAAAAAUGUAAAGACUCACUUUUUAACUAUUAAACUAAGUGGAAGAAUGA
Molecule: non-coding RNA, 3944 nt
Organism: Ictidomys tridecemlineatus (thirteen-lined ground squirrel)
Lineage: Eukaryota; Metazoa; Chordata; Mammalia; Rodentia; Sciuridae
Source: RefSeq, a predicted model, not a curated record